UUUUUUUUUUUUUUUUUUUUUAUAAAUAUGGGGAAACCAAAGCUCAUGAUUGUAACUACUCUGUACCUUUUCACCAGAGUAUAAUUUUUUUUUUUAAGGACUUUUUUGUUCACCUUCAGCUCAAGUUGUCAUCUAGGUUUCCUAAAUUACAGAACCCUAACUCUUCGUGGAAGGCUUCGCUCUUUUACAUGUGAUGAAAUGGGAGGGCAUUCCUACAUUCUUUGUUACAGGAGAGGGAGAUGGUGUGGUGAAAUGGGAAGUCACUUGGAAUCACGAGAGAAGAGUUCAUAUUUAAAAAUUCAUACUGAAAACAAUGAAGUCAGAUAAAUCACUGCAGGUUCUAUGUUAAAAAAUUGAAAUGCUUUGAUUGGAGGCUUAUGUUGUAAAUCUAAAUAUGCCUAAUGUGGCAAAGCUUUCAUGACGGAUCUUUUCUAAUAUGCUUUUCUUUCAAAAUUUUGAAGCUCAGAACCGAGCUUUAUUCAUUUUAACAAGCAGAAUAUUAUGAUUGGCCGCUAAUUAUAGGGUUAAUCUUUAGUUCUUGACUUGAUGUGACAAUUGUUUCCCUUUGUCUAAUUAUAAGGACAUGAAUAUCCUGCUCCAUUGUUGCUUGAUAAAAGAACAGUAGUAGCAUGCUUGUGGAUGAUGUAUCGGUGACUAGCGGAAUAGUUCAAGGCAAUAUAUGCCAAUUGUUUUAUACGUCACGAUGUAUGAGCUUAAUGCGGUGCAUUGAAGAGAUAUCAAUUACUACUUUCUAUAUUUAUGAUAUGCUGUAAUGUGGGUUUUCAUAUUGGACAGGAAAAGACGAGGAAAGAAAUUCUCAGGAAUCAAGUUGGUCGUGUCUCCCUGUUCAUCGCGUUACUCAUUGGUCUAGUAGGUGUGCUAAUUGGGUACUUUAUCAGAUGAAGCGAGUAUUCCAGAGCAGGCAAUUUGCAUGGAAAGAUGCUAUUAUUGUUAGUGCCAUUUGAUAAUCCAUUUCUUUUUGAACGUCGAAAUUUAGUUUAUCAUGUCUUCCUUUCAAAAAUUUUGUAGACAAAUACCAUUGAUCAUUUUACAUGUGAGGGACUGGUUUCUGUGGAAUUUCAAAGGGACCUUGCCUUUUUCUGGGUGUUUGUUUUGUCAAGUUGAAGGGGGGGAAAGUAGCAGUCAAGAUAGAGAAGGAUUGGGAGUUUAUGGCUGCAGCGGAGUUUGAUGACAGCUCGUUUGUGAUUGGUGAAUGUCAGCUGUGACUGCUUCGGUGCGUCGUCUGUAGAGGGUGGUGCUUUCUUCUCUACAGAAUUGUUAAAAGCUGUCCUGUGGCUCCUGGUUUAAGUGACCUUGCCUGCAGAAAAGUACAACAAUACUAUUUAUUUGAAAAAAGAAUCACCGUACAACAAUUUGUAAAAUUCCAACUUUUUUCUGAGACUCUUUAAGGAAAAAGAAGGUGAACCACAAACCUCACGAUCACCACUGCUGCUGGGAGAUUAAUUAAUUUCUAAACUGGAACGUACUCCUAAAAAGUUGGAAUGUGCGCUAUAGUGAAACAGGUACUCUGCCACUGGUCAUUUGGUCCGAUAGUCAUCACUCUUUUUGAUGAUGCUGGAGGUUAGGGGUAUGGUCCGGGGUUCUAUCCUGCCUUCCUUAAAUUUGCCACAUUAUGAGGCUGAUUUUAGUUGAUCAUCUCCCCUUAUUUCUUUCCUCUAGAUUAGGCUAGAUUAGAUUAUAGGACAUCUAUCGUUAUCGAAAAAAAAAAAAAAAAAAGUGAGACAGGGACACUGCGUUUUUUUUUAACAGGCACUCUGCAUUGAACCAUAGAUUUGUUAUCUUGGAAUCUGCUAUCAUUGAAAUAGAUUUGUUGUAUUGAAUUGACGUUCAACUUUCCCUUGAAGAAAAAGAUCCCUUAGUUACUCUGUUUUACUCUAUCAAAUAGCCAAUUUUUUUAGCUGAAUUUAGUUAGAGUUGUGCAACAUAUGGUUUUCAAGAAGUUUGGUUCCCCCCCCAACCGAAAAGAACAAGCAAAACACCUCAUUUCCAAUUAGAUGUUCAACAACACCAAUCAAUUUAUUCAGAUCACAUAAAAUAAAUACCAGAAAAACACUUGGAACAAUUACGAAGCUUGGAGAAACUAGUUCGACGAACAACAAAAUUAAUCAAAGGUACCGCCUCCGAACCAGAAAAAAAAAAGGAAAAUUUUAAUUCCAAAACAGCAUCUUAGAUCUUCUUCUGGGACGGGUCCUGACCGAAAUCAUUGAUCUUGUCCAGAGGGCAGCGCCUGCGGUUGGUCUCCUCCACUUGCUUGGCCAUGGCCAAUCCAGAACGGGCCAGUUCCCUCAGGUUGGGAACGUCGUAGUUUUGGGCAACAUAGACUCCAAAAACACCUCCGAGCAUGAGCCUAAAAGUGGUACCAAAGAACCCCAUUGAUGUAUUUACUUGUGUUGAUUCUAUCUAAUCAAUUAUAUAAAACAAUAGCACAAAAAUUCCUCCCGGAAACGAAGUGGAAAUGAGUAGAUGGAACAUGAUGAUGAAUCUUGGAACUAAGUUUUACUGCUGUAAUAUAUACUUAUAUAGUGAGUGGGGUGUGAAGGAUGUUGGCUUAUUCUCCAAGUAUUUCCCUCCUGGCUACAACUCUCUGGUUUCUUUUGGAUUACGCUUUUGGGGAGUUUAUUUUUCUAAUCUUGAGAAGACAGCUUCGUUCCUCCUCCUCCAAGAGUCAAAGGUCAACGGCUUUCAUCAUCAUUAUUAUUAUUAUUUAAUGAGUCAACAUCAACAUGAGUAUAUUUAAAGAGUAAGAAGUAACAUAAAAUUAUAAGGACCAAUCUUUAAAUAUAUAUAGUAUGAGAAAGGCUAAUCCAAGUUUUGUCUUCUAAAUCCCUUUACAUUAUUGAAAUUUUCAUUCACAUCCUUGUACAAAUUAGACUUUGUGCCUCCCCUCCCACCCCCAAUAAAAGAUUGUAGAAAUCUUUUUAAUCUCCUUGAGACAUUAAAAGUUUUUUCUCGUAUUCUUGUAAAUAUUGGACUUUAUACCCCCAAACCUUUUACAGUAUUGCAAAGGGCCUCCCCGACCCUUGGCUCUGCUAGUGAUGUGAUUGGCUGAAAUUUAAGUUAAAUCUAAUCUAUGCUUGGGACUUUGUUCCAUCUUUCAUAGGCAGAACAGAAGGGUGUGCUUUGUCUGAAAGAGAGCCAUAUGUGGAGAGGGAUGAAAAUCUGCCUUAGUCAAUUGUUUAUUAUUUACAAUGUGCAAAAGAUCUGCUCUAGCACACAAUCAAUCUUGGAAUUGGUUAUCAAAAGAAAAAGAAGUUGUUUAUCGAAAGAAAAGAAAAAGAAGUUUGUUUGGAUCUAAUGAGCCAAUAUUUAGUGUUUGCCCAAAGACUUGGAAGUUUUUGCCUUGUGGGGACUCCAAAAGUGAUACGAAUAAUAACACUCUGCUUAAGAACAAAGAGUAAGACGCUUUAUUUAUUCAUAGCGAUCGCUAAACAAGUCAUAUAUAAUUAAGAACAAACAAAGUACUGAAAUUACAAGAAGUCACAAUUAAUUAGUAUGUAUGUAAGGUUUCAAAAUAUUGUUAAACAAGUCAUCUUAAUAAUUAGAUCUUGUUCUGAGGCCCGUCUGGACCAGCAUCAUCAUCCAUCUUCUUCUUGCUCUGCUGCUGCUGGGGCUUGCGGUAGGUCUGCUCUACCUUCUUGGCCAUCAAGAACCCACAACUGGCCAGCUUCCUCAAGUUUGGGACGUCAUAGUUCUGUGCAAUAUACACUCCAAUUACACCCCCGGCCAUGUACUUAAAACAGCUCCUGAAAAAUCCCAUGAUGUCGACUCGCUUUUUCCUUUUUCCCUUCACGUAUGCUUUCAGAUUAAGAGGAAAAACAACCCAUUGUCUCCACUCUAAUAGUAGGAAAUCAUUCAAAUUAAAGAGAUGGGAUUUGCGAUGAUUAUGAAGCCCUUUAUGUUUUGAUUUAUAUAUAUAGUGUCAAAACUCUGAAGGGGGUUGUCUUGUUAUCCAAGCCUUUCCUUCCCCUCCUCCAAGAGUCAACUCAACGGCCUUGCCUCCAAGAAAUUUCAUCAACAAUUUUUAGAUAAUACCAACUACCCAAAAAUGUUACUGGAGGUUUUGCUAAGCGUACAAUGCCAGUGCCAUGCACGAGGUGUCAAAUUCUAAUUCCGAUUUUUCAGCUUUGUGAAUUUGUCACAAGGGAUAAAACUACUUUUACGUAGGGAUGGGUAAAAUUGCUCAUUAACCCGAAAAUCCGUCAUAUCUGAUCUCAUAUUCAAAAAUUAGGAUAUUCGAUCCGUAUUAUUUGAUGAAUCAAAAGAAAAUCGGGUAUCCGCUUAGGUGCGGGGCUGGUUAGAGUGGGUUGAUUAAAAACUCGCGAGUACUCGACCCGACCAGCAUAUAUUUUUUAGUUUUUAAUUUUUAUAUAUACUAUAAAAUAAUAUUUUUAGAGCUAAAUAAGCAUUUUUCAUUGAACAAAUUGUAAUACAAUUAUGAGAGACUAUAGUUCAUUUAUAAGAUUUAUUUGCAGAGAUCAUGAUCUUAUAUUUUAUAGAAAAGAGGUUAAUUAAUGUGGAAUAUAUAUUUAAAAAAGGUGCUAUUUAUUUCAAACUUUUAUUGAUUAUGAAUUCUUUUAAUUUUUUUCUUUUUUUUUUUGUAUUCUCUUCACAUGUUUGUUUCUUGAUGGGAGAAUUUUUGAAAAUUUUUUUAUUAAAUCCUAGAUGAAUGUGUAAAGUGCAAAAUUAAAUUAGUAUAAAUCAUUUUUUUAAACAAGUAAAGGAUAAGUGGGGGCAGAACAAGUAACCGUUGAUCCAAGCCUAUCUUAGCGGGUACCCUAUAACUGAGUAUCCACUGAUGUGCGGGACGGAUAAGGAUCAGAACAUGGCUAACUGGCAAGAUAUGGGUCGAAUUAGCUAAAUGGUGCACGGGUCGGAUACCGGACCGUGCCCACCCCUACUUUUAUGGCAUUUGAUUGGUUGCUUUUUAUUGAAUUUAGGGAUGGAUGAAAGGGUAAAUCAUAAAUAUAUGACUUGAAAUCUUAGAAUAAUUUAUUGAAUGUCAUCCUUCGUGCAGAAGAAAUAAGAAAAAACUUAGCAAAAAAUAAUGGGAAAUUUUUUUUAUAACUAUGUAAAAAGAGGUUAAUUGUAACUACAAAAGAAAUGCAUGCUAGUCUCCACCGUAAUUAAAUUACCAAUAACUAUCGUUUUGCUAAGAUUUUGACGUCACAUGAUUGCGUGUGUUGUAAUUUAAUUACUUGGAACUACGAAAUACGGCUGAUCCAUGGCAGUUGUUUAAGGAGCAUUUCCCUAAACCCAAUCCAAGAAGUGGGAAGAAUUUCUCUAAUCUUGUAGAAUAUUUCUUUUUGCCGCUUAUCCACGGGCGGUAGUCCUACUUGAGCAGCUACCCAGUCCAAGUAUUCAUGCUGCCCCAACAAAAAGUUACAGAACUAAUUAAUUACAAAACAUUAGAUUUUGUUAACUUAAUUAGAGGGACAAAAAUAAUUACUAGCUAGCUGAGAUAAUCCAAACUGUACCAUAUUAAGGUCAAGUGAAUGAGUGUGGUGUUUUGGGAUUCCCUUCUCCUCCAAAAGCCGGUAACAUUGUUCAAGAUCAGCUGACAUAUCUUCUUCCGAUGGCAAGCUCACCUUGCCAGAUAAAACAGAGGCCACCCACUUGGCUUGUAAAUCGAUCAUGACAAAAUUGAUUGCCUUGUAAUCACCAAAAGUGACAAAAAUGCAUGAUUCAGUAAUUGGAUUAAGAGAGAGCAGUUUUAAUGAAAUUUGCUUGAAAAAAGAAUUGCCAUCCUGUAUGGUAUUUAAGCAGCAAUGCAUAAAACAACUUACCACGCGAGGUAUUCCAACAAAAGAAAGCCUAGGAGCAAGUUGUGGAGGGAAAACAUGCUUGUACAACGGUCCAACGCGAUUGUCAUCAUCAAUAGUUAUGACUCCAUUUGUUUUCAAGAAAGGCAAAUUAUACUUGUACCUGUGUUAGUUACAAUAAUUAAUGAAAAAAGCUUCAGAAAACUUUGAUCCAGCCUCUCUUACCAUGAACCUAUAUAUUAGUGUAUAUUAAUGGAAGGUUAAGUAGUUGAUUAUAGGCAAACAGCAUGUAAUUAGUACUAGUUGAUUAUAGAGAUGAAAAAUGGAAAUGGGUUGUGGUGGAAUAUUUUACCCAGUGCAGUGGAGAAUGGUAUCUGCUGUGACCAGAGCUCCAUCCUCAAAAGCUAUUUCACCAUUUUCAUAGCAAUUUGUGACCUAUAACAAGCUUGAAAAUGAAGUUGUAUGCUAGAAAUGACUUCAAGUAAAAUCAUGAGCUAAUGAGAAGGGAAAAAAAAAAACAAUCAUUUUGUGCUGCAACUCCAAAUGUCGUGGGGUGAUACAAAAUUACGUACCAUAGCAACAAAAUUCAAAUAAAAAUAAAUAAAUGAAAGCAUAUAGUAUAUACUUUUGAGUGCUGCCAUAGGUUGUCAUACAUGUCCCAUUUUUUGACCUCAAUUUCUUGGGACCUGGAAGAGAGAUGUACUUCUUUGGCUACCUCCACAAUUUCUAGGGAGAUAUCAUUGGCACUAGCUGCGCCUCCAAUAAUAACCACAACCUGUUUUUUUGAAAAAUUAAAUAUAAUGCAUUUCUCUGUUAUGCCUUCAUAAUUUACGAGUAUAUAAUAAGAGUACCGAAUGAAUGAAUACCUGAUCUCUAAAUGGCUCAGGAACUCGAUAAUUGUGGCAGUGAAUUUGUUUCCCCUUCCAGUUAUUGAUUCCUUCAAGGUAGUAAUCAGGUAGAAAUUAUCAAGCAAUUGCUAGUAAAUUAUCAGUAUUUAGUAGUAAAGUUGCUUGCGCUUGCAGCCACCCCCAACCAAAACAAAAGGAAAAAAAAAUUAAUUGAGCUAGCUAGCUAUUUGUGGAAAUUGUUUAACUUGAGAGUUGAGAUCGCCAUUGGUUUUGGAAAUUGUUUCUUGAAAUCAUCUUUAAUUGAAAUUAGAGAAUGUCAUAUUGACGUACUAAACUUACAAACUGAAAAUGCUCUAAUGAAUUUGAGAUUCUUAUAAAAAUAUGCUAGCUAGUGUAUAGACACUUGACAUUUUGAACAAAAACACACAUACAAUAGACUAUAGUUAGUGUAACUGACUUGAAAAGUUGAAGUUGGCCAAAAUAAAAAAACUGCAAAUGUUAGAAUUCCAGCUCCCAAGUACUAGGCUUAGAAAAUUCUAUACUCACAUCGAAUCCCCUCCCCCUCCCCCUAGAUUAGGUUAUAGGAAUUCUAUUGUUGUGACGACAAAAAAAAAAAAAAGGUACUAGGCCUAGAAUUCGAACACUUUGAAAGCCCUCUCCCGGUGGUUAUGGAACUAAUAAAAAUAUUCUUCAGAUGCAUUAAUUUCUUGGACUUGUUAGCGCAAGCAAACCUGGAAGUUCUGCCACUCUUGGUUGAGUGUUAUGUCCAUUACAAACCACAACGGCUUCGAAUGGCUCUUCUGAAAUCAACCCACCGUUUGAUCUCGACUCAACCACCCACUGAUCGUCAUUCCCCUGCUCAACUCGGACUACUUCUGUAUUCAGCCGAAUAAACUCGACCAGCCCGAAAUCUUCUGCAAAAUUAUUCAAGAACUGCAGCACCUCUUCAUGGCCGGGAAAAUCCAUUAGCACGCCGUCUUUAUUCUUGACAGUGAAGGGGUAAUCCCAAAAUCUCAUAAGCGGUCUUGGGAGGUUUGUCUUGAGUGAAUGGUAUAGACUGCUGUGAACAAUUUUUCUGCCAGGAUCAAGGCCUAGAGGGUCGGUCUCGACUUCAGGAUUGUACACCCACAUCCCACCAAUUUGGUCUGCUUUUUCAUAGACCACCACUUGAUGGCCUUCUGAUUUCAGUUCGCGGGCCGUGGUUAGGCCGGCAACCCCGGCUCCGAUCACUGCCACCUUCAGAGGUCGUGCCAUGGUAUAAAAUACAAUUGUGCAGCCAAAUGAAUACCGAGGAUGUGAACCUUGUUACGUAAGGCAUAAUGUUGAUGUUUAGUAUUUUUUAUUUGAAUUGUUCAACUAAAUUAGCAUUUCAGACUCGGAAUUUUGCUGCCAUGCACAUGGACAUAAAGCAAAUGACAAAGUAGGCUUGUCAAAAAAACUUGUGAGUGCCCAAAUUGACCUGUUCUUGACAUUUUAUUUUACUGUCACGAUAAUCACCAAAACAAUAAAAAAAGUUAUGUCUCUUUCUGGCUAAUUUACCAAUAUAUAUAUAUAUAUAUAUAUAUGUAUGUGCAUUAGUCCGAUUAAUAUCUAGUUAAAUAAAAAAGAAACUUCCAAAUUAAACAAACCUUGAGCCUUGACAACAUCUAAAACAAACGAGAUCAAGACAAAUUAAGGAUGCAUUAAUAUACCUGAAAGAAACAAAUAUGAAUAUUUCUAAAUGAUCAAAAACCUAUACAUCUACUCCCAAAAGUACAAAAUAAAAGGGGAAAAAAACCAUAUCAAUAUAUAGACAGCACCACGAAGGAAUGCACUUAUAAAUUAUCAUGGGAAUCCGAUCCUGGGGUCUUCUGGCUCGGGGGCUUGCGGUAGGUCUCCUCCAUAUGCUUGGCCACGGCUAUUCCAGUGCUGGCUAGUCUCUGGAUGUUUGGUAUGUCGUAAGUUUGUGCAACGUACACCCCAAAAAUGGUGCCCAAUAUGAAUUUGAACAUGCCCAUCUUCUUGCUUGAAAUUCGGAGUGAUGGGAUAUUGGGAAUUUGGUUGUGUGUUUGACCUAAAGGGAUGACGAAUUGAAUAGGAAAUCUUGUGGAGCAUUAUGCUUUUAAUUUGUGGGAUUAUAUGAUUGUAAUCAUCUCGUGCUGUCCAAGAAUUCAAUUGCUUGAAGGAAGGAUAUAAGUUUUGAACUCCUUUCCAGUUGGGCUGCAUUGUUUCCCCUUGUCCAAGGGUCAACCUUCCUACGUCUGACUUUGAAGUAGCACUACAAUUUACUGAUUAAAAUAGUAGCAUGUAUAGAAUCACUAGCUAGUUUUUUGGCAUCGACUGAGUUCCCAUGUCUUUUUUUUUUUUUGGGGGGGGGGGGGGGUAGAUUUCGGAUUUAUAUAUAACCAACAAGGUGUGCAUAUGCAUCAAGGUGUUUUCUCUCAAGUAUAUAUAAUAAUAAGUUUAUUAGUAAUUAGGCGCUUUAUAUAGAUUCACUUUAUAGAACAAAAAAAGUUCAACUUUUUUUAGUUUAAAUACAACUAUAAUGUUAAUUGUAAAGGCGGGCGGAAUUGCAAGUAAGAGGUCCUAAAUUCAAGAUUUUUCACUUACAUAAAAUAAAUAAAUAAAUAAAUGUAAGUGCAUGCAUUUAGAUAUUUAGAUAGUGAAUUAUGUGUGCUAAGGAAUAACAUUAGGACAUUCCUUGGAAAAAUCCUGCAAAUUUUUAUAAUCAUUAUUAGACCGAACAAUGUAAAGAAUAAUUCAAGCAUGAUAUCCUGCUAAGCCUUAUCAAAUAUUUAGUUAUUCCAACUUUCAACAUCUUGCUCCCUAAAUUUAAUCCACGAAGCUCCAGAAAUGAACUCAAAAAACUUGUGAUAAAUCUCCAAUAGCUCAGUGUCCACAGGAAAUCCGACUUGAGCAGCU
Molecule: long non-coding RNA, 9529 nt
Filed under: Coffea arabica (coffee)
Lineage: Eukaryota; Viridiplantae; Streptophyta; Magnoliopsida; Gentianales; Rubiaceae
Description: long non-coding RNA (CARA_LNC001066)
Source: RNAcentral